UACGUAGGGCGCAAGCGUUGUCCGGAAUUAUUGGGCGUAAAGAGCUCGUAGGCGGUCUGUUGCGUCCGCUGUGAAAACUCGGGGCUUAACCCCGGGCCUGCAGUGGAUACGGGCAGACUAGAGGUAGGUAGGGGAGAAUGGAAUUCCCGGUGUAGCGGUGAAAUUCGUAGAUAUGGGGAGGAACACCGGUGGCGAAGGCGGCCAUCUGGACGGAUACUGACGCUGAGACGCGAAAGCGUGGGUAGCAAACAGG
RNAcentral lists this ribosomal RNA (253 nucleotides) under uncultured bacterium. Its description in RNAcentral is "partial 16S ribosomal RNA". It matches the Rfam family "Bacterial small subunit ribosomal RNA", at positions 524 to 776 of the family's 1533-position model. The record is from RNAcentral.